CAGCAGCCGCGGUAAUACGUAGGGUGCAAGCGUUAAUCGGAAUUACUGGGCGUAAAGCGUGCGCAGGCGGUUAUAUAAGACAGAUGUGAAAUCCCCGGGCUCAACCUGGGAACUGCAUUUGUGACUGUAUAGCUAGAGUACGGCAGAGGGGGAUGGAAUUCCGCGUGUAGCAGUGAAAUGCGUAGAUAUGCGGAGGAACACCGAUGGCGAAGGCAAUCCCCUGGGCCUGUACUGACGCUCAUGCACGAAAGCGUAAGGAGCAAACAGGAUUAGAUACCCCUGUAGUCCCUGUCUCUUAUAC
This 301-nucleotide ribosomal RNA is filed under the name uncultured bacterium. RNAcentral's name for it is "partial 16S ribosomal RNA". It matches the Rfam family "Bacterial small subunit ribosomal RNA", at positions 509 to 812 of the family's 1533-position model. The record is from RNAcentral.